Herpailurus yagouaroundi (jaguarundi) is the source of this 1208-nucleotide long non-coding RNA. RefSeq lists it as uncharacterized. NCBI's taxonomy places the organism in Eukaryota, Metazoa, Chordata, Mammalia, Carnivora, Felidae. The transcript has 3 exons. The record is from RefSeq and is a predicted model, not a curated record.
UGUUAGGAGACACAUGCAGAGUCGGUAUUUAGGGGUAUUUAGUUGAGAUUCCUACCUCUUUGUCAGGAUCUCCUUUUUGUUAGCUCUAACUGUGAAAAAUCAAACCUGAUGUGGAAGUCAGACUUCUGUGAUUCCAGAAUCAUACAUUCUAACACUCAGGCUGAAAACAAAUUCAGUUCAAUGCUUUGUUUUCUAAUCGAACUUUCCCUUUCCAAUCAGAAAAGAAGACGAAUUAGCAUUUUAUGGUACCUAUUAGUGAGGGACCAGUCAGGUCAUAAAAGUGCACCCGACAGUGGCGUUUCCACACUGGUAUGAGCAAUGCACUUCCCUUGUUAUGCUCCCAAGUUAAACAAGAAUCAAGAAAUCCAACUUGAAUCACCAUCCUGGCUCAGUACUGUCUAGAGGUUAUGAGCUUUACCAGAAAACCAGGUAGGGUACAUCCUGCCCCUCUCUUGUCACCUGCCAGCCCUGAAGUGACAGUAAGGGCCAACUUAUAGGGACCUGUCUCCUUAUGUCACCUUUAGUUGUGUUUCAGCUUCAUUUGCCACUUGCCCUAAUAUUUCUCAAUUACUUUCUUUCUAGUCCUCGCAGCAAGCCUACGGGAGAGGUUCAUUUUGCCAUAUUAUCUAUAGAUUGGCUGUAAGGUGGGAAUCCUGUCUCAGAGCUGCAAGGAAUCUGAGGAGAUUAUCGGUUCAUCCUCCUGCCUGGAGACAGUUAACUCCAAAACUGCAAACAUCUCAAAGGGAAUGAUGGAUAUCAGGUGACAUCGUGAGGCUGGGGCUAACCCAAAUGGAGCCUGAACAAUCUAAGGAAACACAGUUGCAGAGGGGACUGUGAGUCUGGUUUGCAAUUUUGAUUUUGAACUGGUGUUCAGCAGCUCUUUUAAACCAUGGGCCAGUCAAACCUGAAUUGAUGAUAAAAAUGAGAUACUAUUUUUGGAAAAAUACUUAAAAGGGGAACUCUGAAGCCUGUUGGUAGGUGUGUCAGUUGGCACCAUCUACCUGGAUAGCAAUUGGUAGGAACCUUAAAAAUAUACAUAGCUUUUGACUCACUUCCGGGAUUUUUUUCCAAGAUCAGAAAUACGUAUGCAUAAGUGUCAUUGAAGCAUCGCCUUAAAAAAUGGAAAGUUGAGGGGCGCCUGGGUGGCUCAGUCGGUUGAGUGUCCGACUUCGGCUCAGGUCAUGAGCUCGCAGCUCGUGGGUUCGAGC